CCUACGGGUGGCAGCAGUGAGGAAUAUUGGACAAUGGGCUUACGCCUGAAGCAGCAAAGUCGCGUGAGGGAAGACUGCCCUAGGGGUUGUAAACCUCUUUUGACAGGGAGCAACGCCGGCUACGUGUAGCCGGACUGAGAGUACCUGAAGAAAAAGCAUCGGCUAACUCCGUGCCAGCAGCGGCGGUAAUACGGAGGAUGCGAGCGUUAUCCGGAUUUAGAGGGUAAAAAGGGUGCGUAGGCGGAAUGCCAAGUCAGAGGUAAACUGGUGGGGCUCAACCUCGCUACGCCGUUGAAACUGGCGUUCUUGAGUGGGCUAGAAGUAUGCGGAAUGCGUGGUGUAGCGGUGAAAUGCAUAGAUAUCACGCAGAACUCCGAUUGCGAAGGCAGCAUACCGGCGCCCAACUGACACUGAAGCACGAAAGCGUAGGUAUCGAACAGGAUUAGAUACCCGUGUAGUC
RNAcentral lists this ribosomal RNA (460 nucleotides) under uncultured bacterium. Its description in RNAcentral is "partial 16S ribosomal RNA". It matches the Rfam family "Bacterial small subunit ribosomal RNA", at positions 338 to 795 of the family's 1533-position model. The record is from RNAcentral.